GGGAGCGCCCGGCAGCAGAAACCCAGCGCUGAGCAUCGCGGGGAGGAUGCUCGGGCACACGCAGCUGCCGGGGGAUGGGGUUACAAGCCCAAGCUAAACAAAGAUCGCUGCGAAAAGGAAACGGAUCCCUGCUGCCGACUGUAAGGUAGGAGCCGAGCGGGAGCCGCUUGACAUCAUCGGGCAGAGCAUUGGAUUACAGCAGGCAGGGACUGACUCCGGGGAGGAGAACACGCCCCUUGGCCCCACAAGUGCAACUUCAUUUAGCAGCUCCCGGCAGAAGGAAACUGCGAGUCUGGAACCGGCUGCGAGGCUCCCGGCCGGCUUGGCAGGAGGGCACAGAGGGCAGAGAGGGCAGGAGGGUGGGAUCCAGCCGCGAUCCCUUCAUUCAUCCAUCCCCUCCUCGGCGUUGGGACCGCGGGCUGGCUCAUUU
Molecule: long non-coding RNA, 430 nt
Organism: Junco hyemalis (dark-eyed junco)
Lineage: Eukaryota; Metazoa; Chordata; Aves; Passeriformes; Passerellidae
Source: Ensembl